UCCAGAACGAAUUCUGACCGACCAAGGGGGCGCCUUCGAUUCAGCAUUGAUGCGUCAACUCCGCGAGUUGUAUGGCUGUACAAAAAGUCGUACCACCCCGUAUCACCCCCAAGGGAACGGGGCAUGUGAGCGGUUCAACCAAACAAUUCUGGGAUUGCUGAGCUCGCUGGAUCCCACAGACCACCCGCGAUGGCAUCACAAACUUCCAGCCCUGAUACAAGUUUAUAAUAACUCUGUCCAUGCAAGCCCAGGGCUGACCCCCCACUUUGUUCUGUUUGGACGCCAUGCCAGACUACCGAUUGACAUGAUCCAUGGAGUGACCCCGCCCCAGCGGCGAGGUGACCUCGAAGAAUGGGUCCACCAGCACCAUAAUACCCUGAUGGACGCUUACGCCCGAGUGCAGCGAAACGUCUCCCGCCGGCAGGCGUGGGACCAGAAACGGUACAAUAGACGGGCAUUGGCUGUUCCUCUGCUACCUGGCGAGCGAGUGCUGAUCAAGAACUUCCGCAGAAGGGCGCGGGGGAAACUGACAUCAAGGUGGCUUCCCACACCUUAUGUUGUGCUAGAUCGACCCCGGCCAGAACAGCCCGUCUACCUCAUUCGUCCGGAAGGGGAAGAAGGGCCCACUCGCACUUUGCAUCGGAACAACCUCCGCCCAUGCCCAGCAGGAGUGCUGGGCAGCCCGGAGGUACAAGAGGAAGGCCCACCUGGGGCCAAUGUGGAUGUCCCGCCCCAGUUCAAUCUUCCCAGUUUCCUAGUGCCCCCGUGCCCCUCCCGUCCGGCCGUCACUGGUGUCUCGCCUAGGGCAGUACACCCCACGCUACCCCCCGGUCGUUUUUCCCCUAUACAAUCCACCUCCAUUCCCAUAGGUCCUCCAAGGCCUUCCUUAAGCAUCCCCACAAUGAUGCCUCCUCACCCCCCUACUGUCCGACCCUUUGAGUUAGGGACCCAAGGUAAGACCACUGGGGGGGGACCAGGGUUAGUAAGUGAUAGGAAUGUUGUUAACAAUGAUUCGUUGUUGAUUAAUGAUAGGAAUGUUGUUAAUUAUGAU
RNAcentral lists this long non-coding RNA (1051 nucleotides) under Gadus morhua (Atlantic cod). Its description in RNAcentral is "lncRNA (ENSGMOG00000032335.1)". The record is from RNAcentral. Lineage: Eukaryota; Metazoa; Chordata; Actinopteri; Gadiformes; Gadidae.